GGCUCAGUAGGUUGGUCGUGCCACCGGUACGUACUGGUCUCACUGAUUCCUCCUUCCUGAAGAACCGUAAUGCCAUUAAUUUGGUGUUGCGGGGAAACAGGACUGUUACUUUGAAAAAAUUAGAGUGUUUAAAGCAAGCUAACGCUUGAAUACAUUAGCAUGGAAUAAUGAAAUAGGACGAUCGAUCCUAUUUUGUUGGUUUCUAGGAUUGACGUA
RNAcentral lists this ribosomal RNA (216 nucleotides) under Glomeromycotina sp. RNAcentral's name for it is "partial small subunit ribosomal RNA". The stretch from base 40 to 216 matches the Rfam family "Eukaryotic small subunit ribosomal RNA", at positions 686 to 864 of the family's 1831-position model. The record is from RNAcentral. Lineage: Eukaryota; Fungi; Glomeromycota.